UACCGUCUUUGUAAUAUUUGUUGUGAAGGCGAUGAACCAUUCACCGCCUUCACGGCAAAACCCCACACUGCCGCCUUUCCAAGUCCGCCUUUCCUGUGCCCUCGAGAAUGUUAGAAAAUUGCGUACGGUAAAAACGCAGCGGAAAAAGAAAUCAAACAAAUUUGAUUUUGAAAACUCUCGAGAUCCAAUAUCAAAAACCACGCAAUUAGGAUCCCUCAUAUUCUUUAAGAUUAAAGAAGAAAAGUAAGAUCGAAUCUUUAUUUUUUUUGCGGAUAGAUUUUCACCAUAAUUUGAUGAUCGUGGAAUUGGGUUCUCUUGAAGCUGCACACGCGUUCGGCCUCUAUAGGUAUCCACACGAGAUUCUUGAUUUGAUUGAUGUCCUCACCGGCAUGCUAGCUCCCUUGCAAAUGGACGUCUUUUUGCUGGAAGAUGAAAGAGAGACGAGAAGAGAGAUAACGGUUAGGGUUUUCUAAAAGCUUCCAUAUAUUAUAUAGAGGAAUAUAAUCAUCUUUCUAAUAAUAUAAUGACAAUUAAGGAUAAGUACAAAUCUAGAUUUAAAUUUAUUGUUUCCUUAAUUGGUUAGAUCGAUCAAAUCUUAAUUUGAUUCGACUUAAAUUUUAUCUUAACUUGAUCAUACCAAAUUAAUAAUGCAAUAUUUACACAUAAGUCCUCUUAUAAUUUACUAACUAUUAGUAAAUCCUCUCUAGUAACAUUUACACUUUAUUACCACUAAUUUGUAACAAUUACAAAUUAGUCCAAUUAUUAACAUAUUGACAAUUAGGUUUUCCAACGAUUCAAUAAUCACGAUCUAGCCAUCCGAUCAAUCACAGCCUCUUAUGUGUGUGACCCCAUAGGUUCUAUUCUAUUUGGUAGUGAGAUAUAUUUUGAUCACUAUCAACAAUAUCACUGAAACUCCUUUCAGUGGAUCGGAACAAUUUCAACUCAGCCCAAUAAGAAUUAUCGAUCAUCUAGAUAAUUCUCAUGAGUUCGACAAUCUACCAGUGACGUCUAGCAGCAUGUAGUGGCAUUUCAGUAGAAUGGAAUACUGAAUCUCUUGGUGCAGUUACCGUGUGAUACAAUCUUUCUAUUAUGAGUCCCUACUAGACGUAGGUUAUGGAAUAACUCGUCAAACCCUAUCGUCUGUCAUAUGUUAAAUUUAUUCUACUCGAGUUUCUAAUAUCGGAAAUCCUUUUCCGCUAUUAACUCUGCCCUGGCCAAGGUUUUCAAAAUUCGGUCUCAUAAAUCACAUAGGGCUAACACCCAUCUACCAAGGGAGAUAGAUUCUAUCUAAGUGCACACCCUAUUCCUACAAUGAACCUACUCCAGCCAACAUGCACCGCAAGGACCCGAAUGGCUAGGGACCAAGCGGAUGUACAGUCAAACUACAGUAACCUCAUUGUGAAUAGCCAAGGCACCGCAGGUCAAAGGACCAGUCACACUACUACAACAUUGAGUAAGUCAUUGACGAGUGAGUAGACAUCCAAGUGACUUCUCGCGUUGGUCAUGCUCGGUACCCUUGUUCUCUAACAAC
This 1531-nucleotide long non-coding RNA is filed under the name Ananas comosus (pineapple). RNAcentral's name for it is "long non-coding RNA (ACOM_LNC023423)". Lineage: Eukaryota; Viridiplantae; Streptophyta; Magnoliopsida; Poales; Bromeliaceae. The record is from RNAcentral.